AUUGAACGCUAGCGGCAUGCCUUACACAUGCAAGUCGAACGGUAACAGGUCUUCGGAUGCUGACGAGUGGCGAACGGGUGAGUAAUACAUCGGAACGUGCCUAGUAGUGGGGGAUAACUACUCGAAAGAGUGGCUAAUACCGCAUGAGAUCUACGGAUGAAAGCAGGGGAUCGCAAGACCUUGCGCUACUAGAGCGGCCGAUGGCAGAUUAGGUAGUUGGUGGGAUAAAAGCUUACCAAGCCGACGAUCUGUAGCUGGUCUGAGAGGACGAUCAGCCACACUGGGACUGAGAAACGGCCCAGACUCCUACGGGAGGCAGCAGUGGGGAAUUUUGGACAAUGGGCGCAAGCCUGAUCCAGCAAUGCCGCGUGCAGGAUGAAGGCCUUCGGGUUGUAAACUGCUUUUGUACGGAACGAAAAGCCCCGGGUUAAUACCCUGGGGUCAUGACGGUACCGUAAGAAUAAGCACCGGCUAACUACGUGCCAGCCGCCGCCGUAA
Molecule: ribosomal RNA, 498 nt
Filed under: uncultured bacterium
Lineage: Bacteria
Description: partial 16S ribosomal RNA
Rfam family: Bacterial small subunit ribosomal RNA
Source: RNAcentral